Molecule: ribosomal RNA, 809 nt
Filed under: uncultured Actinomycetes bacterium
Lineage: Bacteria; Bacillati; Actinomycetota; Actinomycetes
Description: bacterial SSU rRNA
Rfam family: Bacterial small subunit ribosomal RNA
Source: RNAcentral
UCUAGAGUUUGAUCCUGGCUCAGGACGAACGCUGGCGGCGUGCUUAACACAUGCAAGUCGAGCGGUAAGGCCCUUUCGGGGGUACACGAGCGGCGAACGGGUGAGUAACACGUGGGUGACCUGCCUCUAGCUCUGGGAUAAGCCUGGGAAACUGGGUCUAAUACCGGAUAUGACCUCAUGACGCAUGUUGUGGGGUGGAAAGCCUUGUGCGGCUGGAGAUGGGCCCGCGGCCUAUCAGCUUGUUGGUGGGGUGAUGGCCUACCAAGGCGACGACGGGUAGCCGGCCUGAGAGGGCGACCGGCCACACUGGGACUGAGACACGGCCCAGACUCCUACGGGAGGCAGCAGUGGGGAAUCUUGCGCAAUGGGCGAAAGCCUGACGCAGCGACGCCGCGUGAGGGAUGACGGCCUUCGGGUUGUAAACCUCUUUCAGCUCCGACGAAGCGGAAGUGACGGUAGGAGCAGAAGAAGCACCGGCCAACUACGUGCCAGCAGCCGCGGUAAUACGUAGGGUGCAAGCGUUGUCCGGAAUUAUUGGGCGUAAAGAGCUCGUAGGCGGUCUGUCGCGUCGGCUGUGAAAACUUGGGGCUCAACUCCGAGCUUGCAGUCGAUACGGGCAGGCUAGAGUUCGGCAGGGGAGACUGGAAUUCCUGGUGUAGCGGUGAAAUGCGCAGAUAUCAGGAGGAACACCGGUGGCGAAGGCGGGUCUCUGGGCCGAUACUGACGCUGAGGAGCGAAAGCGUGGGGAGCGAACAGGAUUAGAUACCCUGGUAGUCCACGCCGUAAACGUUGGGCGCUAGGUGUGGGAU